GACGAACGCUGGCGGCGUGCUUAACACAUGCAAGUCGAACGGAAAGGCCCUGCUUGCAGGGUACUCGAGUGGCGAACGGGUGAGUAACACGUGGGUGAUCUGCCCUGCACUUCGGGAUAAGCCUGGGAAACUGGGUCUAAUACCGGAUAGGAGCCAUUUUUAGUGUGAUGGUUGGAAAGUUUUUUCGGUGUAGGAUGAGCUCGCGGCCUAUCAGCUUGUUGGUGGGGUAAUGGCCUACCAAGGCGGCGACGGGUAGCCGGCCUGAGGGGGUGGACGGCCACAGUGGGACUGAGGUACGGCCCAGACUCCUACGGGAGGCAGCAGUGGGGAAUAUUGCACAAUGGGCGCAAGCCUGAUGCAGCGACGCCGCGUGGGGGAUGACGGCCUUCGGGUUGUAAACUCCUUUCGCUAGGGACGAAGCUUUUUGUGACGGUACCUAGAUAAGAAGCACCGGCUAACUACGUG
Molecule: ribosomal RNA, 465 nt
Filed under: uncultured bacterium
Lineage: Bacteria
Description: partial 16S ribosomal RNA
Rfam family: Bacterial small subunit ribosomal RNA
Source: RNAcentral